This is an RNA transcript of Mus musculus (house mouse), 1133 nucleotides long. It is a transcript of the gene named gasdermin C-like 1, with no coding region annotated. Lineage: Eukaryota; Metazoa; Chordata; Mammalia; Rodentia; Muridae. The transcript is spliced from 5 exons. The record is from RefSeq and is marked validated.
GCCUCGCGCAGGCGCAGUGGCCUUGGUAUCCGUCCAAGGAUCACCCUAAUAUCAACGCCCUGCCCGGCACAAAUGUGACAGGUGAAUCCCAGAGCCUACUUCACGGAGGUCCUGGCUUCAACAGCAAGAAAGACAUGAUACAACGCAGCUGGAGAUGAGAGGAAUCUGGUGUCUCACCCUAAGUCUUUCCACAUAGGAAUUUGUACAAUCACAGGGAAGGGCAUGUCGUCCUUAUUCUUGAGGAGCACCAAGAGCCUGGUGAGAGAGCUGGGCAGGAAGGGUGAGCUGGUGCCUGUGGACAGCCUCAGCAGCUCACAGCGCCUGCGCCCCUUCUGCCUGGUGAGGAAGAAGCACAAGAGCUACCUCUGGCCUUGGGACACACCCCUCAUCCCCACAGACUUCUCCCUCCUCGAUGUGCUGGAGCCUGGCUGUCCUGACCCAGAGGUGAACCACAGCGGGCCUAUCUACACCUGGGAGAAGGAGGCAGGAGGAUUGACAGGGGCUGUGAGCCUGAGCGCUGGGCUGCAGGGCCAGGUGACCGGAAGUGGCAAGACCACCUGCCUCUCUGCCUUGGCUGUGCAGACACUCUGGGUCUCCCCUUGUACCUGGGAGAUGCUGCUAGAGAAGAGGAAACUGAGGUCACCCAGGCGCUCCUUCCUCCAGGAGCUACACAGCCGGAAGGAGAGGAGAGUCUAUAUGUGGUAACUGAGGCUGUGGAGACCCUGCAAGAUGCCAUGCUUCAGAGCCACAGCCACAUGCUAGGAGCUGGGCAGCUGUCCCUCCUACAGUUGGGCCAUGGUCAGGUGUACAGUGUGCCAGAGUGGGCCAAUGGUGGGCAGUGAGGUUGGAAUAUCAUCAACUUCAUGAGGAUGCUCUAUCUAGAAUUCUCCUUACCCUGAAGGGGAAAGCAGGCCUUGGAAGAUGACAUGGUCUCAGCCCUGCCUACACAGGUUUUUCUGAGGUUUCUCAUGUUCGCACACCAGGGUCCCCCCUUCCUUCUGUUUUGAAUCAGGGUCUUAAUAUAUUGCCCAAUCGGGACCCAAAUAACCUCCUAUGUCUACCUCCCAGGUACCUGGUGUUACAGAUGACACAGUGUAAGCCCCUAUGCCGUUAUCAUGGGUCUGAAAUAGCAC